This 249-nucleotide ribosomal RNA is filed under the name uncultured bacterium. RNAcentral describes it as "partial 16S ribosomal RNA". It matches the Rfam family "Bacterial small subunit ribosomal RNA", at positions 524 to 776 of the family's 1533-position model. The record is from RNAcentral.
UACGAAGGGUGCAAGCGUUACUCGGAAUUACUGGGCGUAAAGCGUGCGUAGGUGGUUUGUUAAGUCUGAUGUGAAGCCCUGGGCUCAACCUGGGAAUGGCAUUGGUGACUGCACGGCUAGAGUGUGUCAGAGGGGGUAGAAUUCCACGUGUAGCAGUGAAAUGCGUAGAGAUGUGGAGGAAUACCGAUGGCGAAGGCAGCCCCUGGGAUAACACUGACGCUCAUGCACGAAAGCGUGGGAGCAAACAGG